Oreochromis aureus is the source of this 257-nucleotide long non-coding RNA. NCBI's taxonomy places the organism in Eukaryota, Metazoa, Chordata, Actinopteri, Cichliformes, Cichlidae. The record is from Ensembl.
CACCUUGUAUGUGAGAAGCAGGAUUUUGAAUUCAAUUCUGAAUUGAACAGGAAGCCAAUGAAGGGAAGCCAGCAUUUUGGAUUAGCUGAAGGAUUUUCAGCGAGUUUUUGUUGUGUGACGGCUGUGUGCAGGCAGGAAUGGUGGACCUUCAGUGCAGACGCUCAGAGGCACAAUAACCAACUGAUUCUGCAGCAGAGCAUCCCCUGUUGCUUCUCCUGGCUUCCCAGUCCCUGACCUCCUGCUGCUGCACCCACAGG